GCUGGGCAUGGUAGCACAUGCCUGUAAUUCCAGCCACUUAAGAGACUGAGGUAGGAGGAUCCUGAGUGCAGGGCCAGCCUGGAAACCAUAGUGAGACCCUAUCUCAA
This 107-nucleotide small RNA is filed under the name Marmota monax (woodchuck). The record is from RNAcentral. Lineage: Eukaryota; Metazoa; Chordata; Mammalia; Rodentia; Sciuridae.